This 4705-nucleotide long non-coding RNA is filed under the name Callithrix jacchus (white-tufted-ear marmoset). RNAcentral's name for it is "lncRNA (ENSCJAG00000083145.1)". The record is from RNAcentral. Lineage: Eukaryota; Metazoa; Chordata; Mammalia; Primates; Cebidae.
AUUCUCCAACCUUCCCGUGGAGCCACACCACCUCCUGUCUUGGCACUUCAUGAGUCCAAUGCUGUUUCCCGAGAGGAUCUGGUUGGUAGACCGUGACCUCGAUUCCUGCCUCUAAGCCUAGCUUUAUUCUCAGCAGCCACCACCUUUUUGGUACUAGAACAGUGCUUUUUAUAGUGCACUCAUCAGUGGAUGCUGAAAUCACAACCUGGCCAUUUGGAUGUUCAACUAAUGCUCUAUGCUGCAGAGUCCCUGCAACUCACCAACCUGUGCCGGAACUCACUGGAGCUCAGGUGGGAUUUCACCAGUGAGCCAGGGUGGUCUCGAACUGCUGACUUCACCAGUGAUCUGCAUACUUCAGCCUUCCAAAAUGCUACGAUUGUGGCUCACUGCAACCUCUGCUCCUGGGUUCAAGCAAUUCUCCUGCCUCACCUCCCAAGUAGCUGGGAUGGCAGGUUCCUGCCACCAUGCCAGUUUUUGUACCUUUAGCAGAGACGGUGUUUCACCAUGUUGGCCAGGCUGGUCUUGAACCCCCGACAUCAGGUGAUCCACCUGCUUCAGCCUCCCAAAGUGCUAGGAUAACAGGCAUGAGUCACUGUGCCCAACCUACUUGUUAUUACUACAUUGUAAUAUAUAAUGAAAUAUUUACACAACUCACUGUAACGUAGAAUCAGUGGGAGCCCUGAGCUUGUUUUCCUGAAACUAGAUGGUCCCUUCUGGGGGUGACCGGAGUCAGUGACAGAUAAAUAGGCACUUGAUUCUCAUAAGGAGCACGCAGUCCAGCUCCCUCACAUGUGCUGCUUACAGUAGGGUUUGCAUUCCUAUGACACUCUAAAAACGCCACCGAUCUGACAGAAGGUGGAGCUCAGGUGGUGAUGCCAGCAAUAAGGAGUGGCUGUGAACACAGAUAAAGCCUCGCUAGCCCACCCACUGCUCACCUGCUGUGCUGCCUGUCCAGUUCCUAACAGGUGAGAUGGGCACAGUGGCUCACGCCUGUAAUGUCAGCACAUUGGGAGACUGAGGCAGGUGGAUCACCUGAGGUUGGGAGUUAGAGACCAACCUGACCAACAUAGAGACAUCCUGUCUCUACCAGAAAUACAAAAGUUAGCCUGGCAUGGUGGCUCAUACCUGUAAUCCCAGCUACUUGGGAGUCUGAGGCAGGAAAGUCGCUUGAAUCUGGGAGACAGAGGUUGCAGAGAGUCAAGAUCAUGCCACUGCAUUUCAGCCUGGGCAACUAGAGCAAAACUCCCUGUCCAAAAAAAAAAAAAAAAAAAAAAAAGCCCGGGUGCAAUGGCUCAUACUCGUAAUCCCAGCACUUUGGGAGAAUGAGGAGGGAAAAUCACCUGAAGCAAUAAGUUUGGGACCAGCCUGGCCAACAUGGUGGAACCCUGUCUCUACUAAAAAUACAAGAAUUAGCCAGGUGUGGUGGUACAUGCCUGUAAUCCCAGCUACUCAGGAGGCUGAAUCAGAAGAAUUGCUUGAACCUCGGAGGUGGAGGUUACAUUUACCUGAGAUCGCACCGCUGCACAGACUGAGACUGUCUCAAAAAAAAAAAAAAACAAAAACAGGCUACAGACUGGUACUGAUCUGUGGCCAGGAGGGUUGGGGACCCCAGCUGUAGACAAUAUGUAAUAAUCAAAUCAGGGUAACUGAGACAGUCAUCACCUCAAAUAUUUAUCUUUUGCUUUGGGAACAUGAAAAUCCUUAUCUUCUAGCUAUCUUGAAAUAUUCAAAUAAAUUCUCAUUCACUGUAAUAUCCCUUGUGCACUAUUGAUUACUAUAACUUAUUCCUUCUAUCUAGGCCUUCUGGUCUUUCAUUCAUUCUUUUUUAAAAUUAUUUUCAUUUAUUUCCAAGACAGUCUCUUUCUGCCAGGCUACAGUGCAGUGACAUGAUCUCGACUCACUGUAACCUUCACCUCCUGGGUGCAGGCAAUUCUCCUGUCUCAGCCUCUCGAAUAGCUGAAAUUAGAGGUGUGCAUCACUAUUCCUAACUAACUUUUUUUUAUUUUUAGUAGAGAUGGGGUUUGACCAUGUUGUCCAGGCUGGUCUCAAACCACUGACCUCAAGCAAUCCACCCACCUCGGCCUCCCAAAGUGCUGGGAUUACAGGUAUGAGCCACAGCACCAAGCGACUUAUUCAUUCUUACAUUCAUCCAUUCAUUCUAUGAAAAACUACUGCCUGGUUACUAUAUACCCGGCAGGGUUCCAGGCUCUGGGGAAACACCAAUGAGCAAAACAAAGUUGCUGCUCUCUUAAUGGAUCCAUCAUUCUAAUGAGGGGGAAAGAGACAGGCGAUCCAUAAACAAAUCAUUAACACAGACAGCACAUCAGGUGGAGAGCGCUACGAAGAAUAAAAACUAAAGCGGGUACAGCCAGGAGCGGUGGCUCCCACCUGUAAUCCCAGCACUUUGGGAGGCUGAGGUGGAUGGAUCCCUUGAGGUUAGGAGUUCAAGACCAGCCUGGCCAACACGGUGAAAUGCCAUCUCUACUAAAGGUACAAAAAAAAAUGACCCAGGCAUGGUGGCACCUGCCUGUAAUCCUACUACUCAGGAGGGUGAGUUGGGAGGAUUGCUUGAACUUGGGAGGUGGAGGUCGCAGUGAGCCGACAUUGCAUCACUGUAAUCCAGCCUGGGGAACAGAGCAAGACUCUGUCUUCAACAAUAAAAAAGUAAAGAGAAAUCAGGUGCAGGUUAGAGUGCAUUAGCAUGAGCAGGGGUGCUCAGGCGGUGGUGAAGGUGGUCAGGAAAGGCCUCUCUGUGAAGGUGAUAGACAUGAGGGCUGAGCCUGGGGACUCCUGGGGAGAGCAGCAUGGGAGGGCCCUAGGUGUUGUUCCCAUUUGUGUUUUUUUUGUUUAGAUUUGAUUUGUUUUUGACACAAAGUCUUACUCCAUCGCCCAGGCUGGAGUGAAGUGGCACAAUCUCGGCUCACUGCAGUCUCCACCAACCGGGUUCAAGGCACCUCAGCCUUCCAAAGAGCUGGGAUGGCAGGCGUGAGUCACUGUGCCUGGCCUAUGCAUCAACGUGUUUAAAUUCUUCUGAAAGCUGUGUUUUAGGAAGAGUGUGCUGACAGCCAUCGGAAAUAAAUGACAGAAUGGCAGGACAAGGAUCACGUCAGUGACAGGGUGGCUGUGGACAUUUGCUGGCCAGCAGCAGGAAAGCCACUCAGACCCUGGAUUCUACCUCUGCAGCCUGUCUGCACCUGAACCCUCCUCCCCACAUCAGUGGAAGCCUGGAACUCUCAGAACAGCAGACCUCACCGGCUGCUGUCACCUUCACCAAAGUGAUGUGAUUAAUUCAUUCACGCAGAAGACAGCAGGAACCCUGAGAGAACAGGAUCCAGAAUGUCUGAGUUUUGAUGAACAGGGUGGUGGAAUCUGGGAGGCUCCACCUACCUCACCUCCUGAGCCCCACACUCCUUCCCCAGUCCUGCUCAGCAUAGAGACUAAAGUGACAUGACCAGAAAUGUAGAUGCUUAGAAGGACACCAGUGACAUAAAGAAAAGGAGACCAGAGUUCCACAAGGUGCGCAGCUCCUGACCUCGGAUGCACAGAACUCUGUCCAGAAAGGCUCACUCGCAGCCAUGGAACUUGAUGGUCCUCGAGUUCCUGAGGAUGGAGCUGGUGAGUCGGGCCCACAAGUCCUUCUGCCUCGUUUUCUCUCCUGGGAUUGGAAGGAAGAGAGAGAUGAAGACAUGGCUGGUCCGGAAUUCUCCCCUGCACCCUGACAGUCACCCUGCAGCAAGUCCCACUGAUCCCACCAACUGCAUCCCAAAGCUGUCUGCCUCUCUGCAUCUCUGACCCUCAGUCCUGAUCCAUCCACCAUCAUCCUGUUCCUGGACUCCUGCAGAAGCUGACCCAGGACCGCUGCCCCAGGGAGGGGCUUCUGAUGCCCAGAGAACAGAGGCUGCCCCUGAGCCCACCUGGGUAUAAUGCCAUCAGGAAGGCUACCUGGAGGUGGGUAAUACCUGAGCUACAUCUUUCUUUCUUCCUUUUACAUUUUUGGUGGAGUUGUGGGGUCUCACUCUGUUGCCCAGGCUGGCCUCAAGCUCUUGGGCUCCAGUGACCCUCUGCCCCUGGCCUCCAAAAGUACUGGGAUUACAACCUGAGCUACAUGUUAAAUGACCAGGAGGUGGGUGCUGGGCAGGCAGAGGAUGAGGGGAUGGAGCCUGGAAGAGGGAGUGAAGGCUCUGAGACAGGGGACAGCAAAUACCUAGGCAGAGGGAGCAGCAUGACUCAGAGGACACUCAGUGUGGCCAGAGGAGUGCAUGGGCAGCAUCACCUGGCACUUUAGGGUCAGGCAGGAGUUCGGGGUCUGUGCUUAACUGGGAGAGGGUCAUCAUCAGAAGGCAGCUGCCUCGGAAGGUAUUUUGUUAUUUUUUGAGAUAGAGUCUUGCUUUGUUACCAGCCAGGAGUGCAGUGGCGUGAUCUUAGCUCACUGUAACCUCUGCCUCCUGGGUUCAAGUGAUUCUCCUGACUGAGAUUCUGGAGUAGCUGAGAUUAUAGGUGCCUGCCACGAUGCUCAAGUAAUCUUUGUAUUUUUUAAGAGAGAUGGCAUUUUGUCAUGUUGACCAGUCUGGUUUCGAACUUCUGAACUCAGGUGAUACACCUUUUUCGAACCCCCAAAGUGCUGGGAUUACAGGCAUGGGUCACUGUGCCCAGAGGAAGCCAUGCAGGAGGCUGGCUAAGUGACAGAUGGACAUUAGGACAGCUG